CCACUGCUGAGGAGUCCCAUAAUAGGACGAAACGGCCGUCCAGUGU
Schistosoma rodhaini is the source of this 46-nucleotide non-coding RNA. Lineage: Eukaryota; Metazoa; Platyhelminthes; Trematoda; Strigeidida; Schistosomatidae. The record is from Rfam.